UAGGGAAUAUUGCACAAUGGGGAACCCUGAUGCAGCGACGCCGCGUGAAGGAAGAAGUAUCUCGGUAUGUAAACUUCUAUCAGCAGGGAAGACAAUGACGGUACCUGACUAAGAAGCCCCGGCUAACUACGUGCCAGCAGCCGCGGUAAUACGUAGGGGCAAGCGGUUAUCCGGAUUUACUGGGUGUAAAGGGAGCGUAGACGGAUCUGCAAGUCUGGAGUGAAAGCCCGGGGCUCAACCCGGACGUGCUUUGGAAACUGUGGAUCUAGAGUGCCGGAGAGGUAAGCGGAAUUCCUAGUGUAGCGGUG
This 308-nucleotide ribosomal RNA is filed under the name uncultured Lachnospiraceae bacterium. RNAcentral's name for it is "bacterial SSU rRNA". It matches the Rfam family "Bacterial small subunit ribosomal RNA", at positions 355 to 683 of the family's 1533-position model. Lineage: Bacteria; Bacillati; Bacillota; Clostridia; Lachnospirales; Lachnospiraceae. The record is from RNAcentral.